AUUUGUUCCUUCAAGAACAUUGAAAUAGGGGCUGGCUCCGGGGCUGAGUGGUUAAGUUGGCACACUCUGCUGUGGUGACCCAGGGUUUCACCAGUUCGGAUCCUGGGCGCAGAUGUGGCACUGCUCAUCUGGCCAUGUUGAGGCGGUGUCCCACAUGCCACAACUAGAAGGACCUACAACUAAAAUAUACAACUAAAUACUGGAGGGAUUUGGGGAGAAAAAAGCAGAAAAAAAAAAAAAAGAUUGGCAACACUCGUUAGCUCAGAUGUCAAUCUUUAAAAAAAAAAACACACAACAUUGAAAUAGCAAUAAAAGAAAAGGAGAACCUACACCUAUGUGAUGCCAAAGCAUUACUGUGCUCAUUUCUGUUUCUUUUCCAAGUGCGCAUGGUAUUCCCUCUUUUUACUAGGAACAUAGUAACCCUUUGGAAUUCAGCUUUCUCAGCUAGCUGUACACCAUCAAAGUUUAUUUGUUUGUUUAUAAUCUUGAGUUUUUAUAUGCAAAAGAUGGGACCAUGUCUCCUGUGGUUAGACCACGUAGGAAUGAGUGGAGAGUGGUGGAGGGUGUGGUGAAGGACAUCAGGAAAAGGAGGAAGGGCAGGUGGGAAGAGCAGAGAGAUGGGAGAAUAAGAGGAAGACUGGCCCAGAUGGUGCUCUUAGAAGCUAGCUACAUUUUACAUUUUAAUUUAAAAUUAAAAGUGAUGACAGUGAUGCAUUUCAUGUGGCAACUUAUAGUUUACCAGGUGCUGGCAUGUCUCUUUGAUCCACAUGGGUCCUUGAGGACACUCAAGGCAGCCAUUUUUGGCAGCUAAAUUAAAAGAGGUUUGUACUAUCUGAUAUAAAUUAAUGAUUUCACCUCUGAAUGAGAUUUUAAAAAUAAAUUUCUGAUUUCAUUUAUAAGAUUUAUCUGCUUUAGUGACUGAGUUAGUUAGGAUUAAGAUGGUCAAGAAUGGUAAUAAAACUGAGUUUGUUGAUCUUUAUGUUACUUGACUUCAUAUGUAAUCUGAGUUGUGUACUUCUGAGUGACUGUCAAUUCCUAGUUUUCCUUUUGUUUUUAAUUUCCUUCAAUGGAUUUCUACCUAAAUGUCAAUAGAAAAGAGGAAAGAGUGCUACUCCUAAAUAUUUCAGAGCACAACAAUAUGCUGGGUCCUUUGACUCAUAAAAUCAGUCUUGUUCCCAUCCUCAUUCAACCUGAAUUGGGUUGAAAGGGAGAAAUUUACUUUGUUUUUCUCUCUGCCAUUUAGUUUACAAAGGGAGAAAAAAUACCCUGGAUCUUUGGAUUCCCAAGCCAGGAAAAACGAAGUAGAGGAAUCUUAACUUGGUGUCAUCACCUUUCAACACUAGCUCACACAAAACACAGAGCAUACACACAUGCGUGCACACACACACGCAUCACCCUUUGGCAUAGGUGGGCCAGGCAGAUUUGGUAACAAUCUCAGUUCUACCACUUUCUAUCUAUUAACAUUUAGUGAUGGCCUGGAGCCCUCUGGACCUGUUUUCUCAUUGUUACAACUGGGAAUAAAUUACCAAGCUAUCGUGAGCAUUAUGUAAAAUAAUGCGCUGAAAGUACCUACAGGGGUCUCAACUCUGUCUGUGCCACUACAUUCAUUUGCAGAACUUGAAAAUAAUAACGACAACAACAGCUGUCUGGUCCUUCCCAGACUAAGUCACAUUGUUGCAGGUAGGCUGAGGUCUCAAUAUUUCAACAAAGCUUUCCAGGUAGUUCUGACGCUCAGCCGGAGUUGAGAGUCCCUGACCUGUGGACAAUGCCUCAGCGUCAGAUUUCAUCCUUUUCCACCCUUCCUGCAGGGUUCCUCUGACACAUGUGUCUCUUACCAGGAAGGAAAGUAUAAGACAAACUCAUUCACAUGAAAACACUGGGGCACCUAAUGUGUUAUAUUUUCUAAGAAAGAAAGGAAGCUUCUUUCGGUGGUGGUGGGCUGUUGUCUUGUGCAUUGUAGGGUGUUUGUCACUAUCUCUGGCCUUUCUGCUCACUAGAUGUCAGUAGCAACCCUUCCCCAAGUUGAGACAACUAAAAAUGUCUCCAGAUAUUGUUAAAUGUCCCCUGGAAGACAAAAUCACCCCUUGAUGAUAACCAAUGGCCUAAAACAUUUGUUCUCAAACCUGGGUGCUAUGGACUGAAUUUUGUCCCACCAAAAUUCAUAUGUUGAAGUUUUAACCCCCAGUGUGACUGUAUUUGGAAAUAGUUCUUUUAGGAGGUAAUUAAGGUUAAUGAAGUCAUAAGGGUGGGACCCUGACCUAGUAGGAUUAUUGUGCUCAGAAGAAGAGACGCCAGAGAACUUACUUUCUCUCUUUUUCUGUGUGCACAUAUGGAGGAAAGGCCCUGUAAGGACAUACAGUGAAGGUGACCAUCAACAAACCAGGAAGAGUUCUCACCAGGAAACAAAUUUGCCAGCACCUUGAUCAUGUACUUCCAACCUCCAGAACUGUGAGAAAACAUGUCUGUUGUUUAAGCCAACCAGUCUAUGGUACAGACAUGCGGCGCAUAACGACAUUUCUGUCAACCAUGGAGUGCGUACACGACAGCGGUCCCAUAAGAUUAGUACCAUAUAGCCUAGGUGUGUAGUAGGCUGUACCAUCUAGGUGUGUAGUAGUCUAUGCCAUCUAGGUUUGUAGUAGGCCAUGCCAUCUAGAUUUGUGUAAGUACACUCUACAAUGUUCGCACAAUGACAAAAUCACUUAACGAAGCGUUUUUCAGAAUGUAUCCCUGUUGUUGAGACACGACUGUAUUUUCUUAUCGUAGCUUGAUCAGACUAAUACAAGAUCCAUGAGCUAUUUUUUGGUUACACUAAGUUAUUUCAAUUUGGUCCUGCUAAUCUCCUUUGGGUUUUUAUCUAGCUGUCCAAUGUCAGUGUUUAUUACCAACAAUUUUUGUCUGUAAUUGCACAAAGUUUGGACGAUCACUUUAGAUUCCCUUAGUUCCCACAUUCCACGCUGCUUCCUUACUUUACCUGCUCUCCCCACACCAUACAUGCAGAGCCUAGUCAAACACAGAGGUAAGGUUAUGUUUCAUCUGUCUAAUAACAAAUUCUUGGUCCUCCAACACUUUCUCUUGGGCCAGGUUGAGUAACACUUGUCUAAGUUCCUCUGGCUCUUUAAACAGCAUGCUCUUCCUAUCCCCAGUAACUGAUCCACUUAGGCACUUCUCUCUUGUUCUAAAUUCUUUUUGCUCUCUUGCCCUUUGUCCUUCCUUGUCAGUCAUCUCUGAUGCAGCCUUCGUCAAUCAGCUCGUAGGGUUGGCUCUGGCACCUUUAAUGGCACCUAACAAAGAUGGUGUGAAAAGCAACAUCAUGACCACAAAAAGAGAUAUCAUAUACAGACACAUUCACUCUCUCUUUUUUGUAAUCAUAGGUAAUGAGGUCUUAUUUCAGAAUUUUAGCCAAAGCAGUAUUUCUGUGAUUCUUGGCCCCAGUGCCAGAAAUCGGUAAAGACUGACUUUUCCAGCAGAGAACUGUGUUAUCCUGAAGUGAGAGAAGAUUAAAAGAAAAAUCAACACUACAGUCCUGCCACUCAAGUGCUUGUUGCUAGGGCCAUCAAAGAUUCUGGCUGCCAGUUCUAUUUAAGCGCUCUCCACAGCUUGGCUCCCUUCCCUCCCUGAAGCAGACCUUUUCCUCUGCCACAGUUGCCUUUGAUAUGGGAUGGUUCCUGUCACAUGCUGGAGGGGGGCGGGGGGUAGUGCCUUUGGCUUCCCCAGAGGCACUGGGAGUGCUCCUUCACAGAGAUCCCCGGCUCUCCUCCUCUGGAAGUCAGGAGAUUUAAUAUGUUUGAAGGAGAAGAACGAGGAAUCUGGGAUGGCAUCUUGGUUCUGCAACCAAUUAGCCAAACGGAUGUGGAGAAGCCAUAUCAUAUCUCUGAGCCUCACUCUGUAGAGUGUAGAAAGAAAGAUGGAUUGAUUAACCUCCCCACUGCUGCUGACUGCACCGCCAGCAGGUGAACCACAAGCCACAAAGCAUUGACCAAAAUAUGCAUCUGCAAAAGAAAGACAAGGAAUUAAAGAAAUUCAACUUUGAAAGCACAGCUGGGCCAGGGUUUCCUGGCAAUGUCUACACACUGAAUUGGGGAAAAGUAGAGGUUAUCGUGAUGGAUUUGUUAGGACAGUGGCAUGCUUGUUG
Molecule: long non-coding RNA, 4132 nt
Filed under: Equus caballus (horse)
Lineage: Eukaryota; Metazoa; Chordata; Mammalia; Perissodactyla; Equidae
Description: lncRNA (ENSECAG00000052707.1)
Source: RNAcentral